Long non-coding RNA from Trifolium pratense (red clover), 1118 nucleotides. RefSeq lists it as uncharacterized. The record is from RefSeq and is a predicted model, not a curated record. The transcript is spliced from 7 exons. Lineage: Eukaryota; Viridiplantae; Streptophyta; Magnoliopsida; Fabales; Fabaceae.
AGAAAAAUUGAAGACAGCGACGGUCCAUUUGAGGCGGUAUCAAGUGAACUGCCGCCGCUCAUGUCAAUACUGACGUUUAAUGCGGCAUUCAUUCAACCGCCGUUGGUCUGUGUAAAUCUCGGCGGUUCCUGUGGUAAAGCGGCGGCAGUUUUAUUGUGUUCCGCGGCGGCUGUAUUAGAAAUAAAUGUUCGUUCACGAUUAGGAAUGAGUACCCCCCUCUCUCUUAUUCUCUCGCACGAAAAUUUCACAACCCAGUUUUAGUGUGUAUCGCACGACCCCUUGUUUUCAAAAAAGAAAGCUUCAACACUUCUCUUCUCUUCUCUGCUUGUUCGACCCCUUGUUUUCAAUUUCAGUCAUAUAUUUUGUUGGACUGAAAGCAGUAGUAAGUGAAAGUGUGCAGCAACCACUACUCUGCUAUGACAACUUGAUCAGGACAAUUUUUCUAUUUCAAGAAGGAUAUUGUGUUUUCAAGGCUUACUGUCUUUGAUUGGCGUUGAUUACGGCGUUGGGAAAAGUACUCUAUUGUUGUAGACAAGGGGUAGUAGGAAGCAAGUGCCAUAGACAUGAUCGUGCCAGUAGGAUUGAGAGAAUCUUAAGCUUUUCAUGCAGCUGAUGGCAAUGCUGAACUGGUCUUGUCAAUGCAGGAACAGCAGUACAUCACCAAAGGGGAGCAGCCAAUUGAAUUUCCAUGACAGCAAUGUUUCUAUUCAAAGCUAUUGGCCCUGCUGCUGGUGGUACAAUGCACAAAUAACUUCAAUAUUGAGGAUGGUCCAUUAUUGUGACAAAGUGCAUGUGCUUAGGGAGACCAUUAAUAUCCUGUGGAAAUCGAGCAUGGUCCAUUAUAUAUUUUCUUUCUUCUUGAACUUCUCCUUUAAAAGUUUGAUUUUCUGCUCAGAACUUCUCCUGUGGAAGUUUGAGGAAAGGAAUCUUCAUUGCUGAAGCAGUUUUCAUCUUUGCAACCAUGAUUCUUAAAGUAUACUACUACAUGUACUUCACAAAGGCAACCACAACUCCACUUUCUCAGAAGACUAACAGGGUUAGUUCGUCAGUUGGAAUGACUGGAGAUACAUGAUGAAUCAUGGAUGAAUCAUGAAAGGGUAACAAAUUUUGAGUAUUCA